Molecule: ribosomal RNA, 322 nt
Filed under: Pediococcus acidilactici
Lineage: Bacteria; Bacillati; Bacillota; Bacilli; Lactobacillales; Lactobacillaceae
Description: bacterial SSU rRNA
Rfam family: Bacterial small subunit ribosomal RNA
Source: RNAcentral
UCAAAUCAUCAUGCCCCUUAUGACCUGGGCUACACACGUGCUACAAUGGAUGGUACAACGAGUUGCGAAACCGCGAGGUUUAGCUAAUCUCUUAAAACCAUUCUCAGUUCGGACUGUAGGCUGCAACUCGCCUACACGAAGUCGGAAUCGCUAGUAAUCGCGGAUCAGCAUGCCGCGGUGAAUACGUUCCCGGGCCUUGUACACACCGCCCGUCACACCAUGAGAGUUUGUAACACCCAAAGCCGGUGGGGUAACCUUUUAGGAGCUAGCCGUCUAAGGUGGGACAGAUGAUUAGGGUGAAGUCGUAACAAGGUAGCCGUAG